This 71-nucleotide transfer RNA is filed under the name bacterium. RNAcentral describes it as "tRNA-Met". It matches the Rfam family "tRNA". From Rfam's summary of the family: Transfer RNA (tRNA) molecules are approximately 80 nucleotides in length. Their secondary structure includes four short double-helical elements and three loops (D, anti-codon, and T loops). Further hydrogen bonds mediate the characteristic L-shaped molecular structure. tRNAs have two regions of fundamental functional importance: the anti-codon, which is responsible for specific mRNA codon recognition, and the 3' end, to which the tRNAs corresponding amino acid is attached (by aminoacyl-tRNA synthetases). tRNAs cope with the degeneracy of the genetic code in two manners: having more than one tRNA (with a specific anti-codon) for a particular amino acid; and 'wobble' base-pairing, i.e. permitting non-standard base-pairing at the 3rd anti-codon position. RNAcentral also lists the same sequence under 1 other name. The record is from RNAcentral.
CGCGGGGUGGACUAGAGGUUGGUCGCGGGGCUCAUAACCCCGAUACGUCGGUUCGAUUCCGACCCCCGCAA